RNAcentral lists this ribosomal RNA (447 nucleotides) under uncultured bacterium. Its description in RNAcentral is "bacterial SSU rRNA". It matches the Rfam family "Bacterial small subunit ribosomal RNA", at positions 355 to 825 of the family's 1533-position model. The record is from RNAcentral.
UAACGAAUCUUCCGCAAUGCACGAAAGUGUGACGGAGCGACGCCGCGUGGAGGACGAAGUUCUUCGGAAUGUAAACUCCUGUCAGGGGAAAGAAAGUUCUGAUCUACCCCAGAGGAAGAGGCGGCUAACUCUGUGCCAGCAGCCGCGGUAAUACAGAGGCCUCGAGCGUUAGACGGAAUCACUGGGCUUAAAGCGUGUGUAGGCGGAAGGGUAAGUACCUUGUGAAAUCCCACGGCUUAACCGUGGAACGGCUUGGUAUACUGCUUUUCUUGAGCAAUCUAGGGGCGAGUGGAACAGAUGGUGGAGCGGUGAAAUGCGUAGAUAUCAUCUGGAACGCCAAUGGUGAAGACAACUCGCUGGGGAUUUGCUGACGCUGAGACACGAAAGCCAGGGGAGCAAACGGGAUUAGAUACCCAAGUAGUCCCUGAGCGGGCUGGCAAGGCGCAU